This 2524-nucleotide unclassified non-coding RNA is filed under the name Hevea brasiliensis (rubber tree). The record is from RNAcentral. Lineage: Eukaryota; Viridiplantae; Streptophyta; Magnoliopsida; Malpighiales; Euphorbiaceae.
GGUGUAGAGAAUAAUAAUAUAAUAAUAAAAUUGUGGAUGUCGGUUGGGUUGGGUGAAAAACCCUAAAAGUAGAUUUGGAGAUCAGAUCUGAAAUUGUUGAAUGGAUUCAAGCAGGAGGGCGGUAGAGUCGUAUUGGAGGUCACGGAUGAUCGAUGGAGCGACCUCUGAUGAAGAUAAAGUGACGCCUGUUUACAAAUUGGAGGAGAUUUGUGAGUUGCUUAGAUCCUCACAUUCCUCUAUUGUUAAAGAAGUAUCUGAAUUCAUCCUCAAACGUCUCCAACACAAAUCCCCAAUUGUCAAGCAAAAGGCUCUCAGAGUGAUCAAAUAUGCUGUCGGAAAAUCUUGUCCAGAAUUCACAAGGGAGAUGCAAAGAAAUUCAGUCGCUAUACGCCAGUUAAUUCACUACAAAGGUCAACCCGACCCUUUGAAGGCUGAUGCACUCAAUAAAGCAGUCCGUGAAACAGCGCAGGAAGCAUUAUCUGCUCUAUUUUCUUCACAAGACACUAAACCUCCCACAGAAAAUCUAAAUCUUGGUGGCAGAAUACAAGGCUUUGGUAAUACCAGUUAUGAAAUUCAUGAUGAUAAGAGGUCUUUCCUCAGUGACGUUGUUGGUGCUACAAUUAAACAAGGACUUAAUACUCUUACACAAUCUCCUCCUCUCAAAAAGAAUGAUACUGGAACUUAUACAAGUCCAAAUCUUCAGAGCUCAUUGACAACUCAACCUGACACUUCUCACAAUCAUACUUCUCGCUUUUCAACAAAUCCUGCUUCUGCAACUUGGACUCACACUGAAACAACAACCAAGCCACAUUCUGCUGAAAAGACCCGAGAAGACAGGUUAUUAGAAACUAUUGCAACCUCCGGUGGAGUUCGUCUGCAGCCAACUCGGGAUGCACUUCAGGUCUUCCUUCUCGAGGCUUCAAAAUUAGAUGCCUUGGCUUUGACUCAUGCCCUUGAGUCAAAGCUGCAAUCACCUUCGUGGCAGGUUCGUGUGAAAGCAAUCUGUGUCCUCGAGGCCAUCUUGAGGAAAAAAGAUGAUGCUCACUUUGGUACUAUGGCAUCUUAUUUCACUGAAAAUAGAGAUGUUGUGGUAAAAUGCUAUGAAUCUCCCCAAGCAUCAUUAAGAGAAAAAGCAAACAAAGUCUUAAGUCUUCUGAAUGAUGGACAAACAGCUGAUGCUGUGGCUCAUGUAGAUAGGUCAGCAAAUGCUUGUAACCCUGUUGUCCAGAUGCCUGACUUGAUAGACACAGACAAUUCUGAUUAUCUGUUUGGAACAGAUAAUUUAACAAAUAUGCAGAGUAGUGAAGGAAUAAAGAUUGCAUCCACCUCUGCCACCCCUCUGAUGGAUGAUCUAUUUGGAGACAAAUCGGGCAGCAGCUUUAGUUCCAGCCAAAAGAAAAAUGAUGAUGACCCCUUUGCUGAUGUUUCUUUUCACAUCAGUAAUGAGAAAGCGCCUGAAGCUGAUCUCUUUUCUGGAAUGACGGUUGACAAAUCAGAUGCUACUGAAAUCCAUUCGGUGAAUAAUAGAAAUGGACCUGAACUGUUUGAUAUCUUUGGUUCCAGUGUUGAAGUUCCUCGGGAGCCCAAUAAUUCUAGAAAGGAUGUUCCUGAUUUAAUGAAUAGUCUCUCUUUGAAUGGGAAUGAGUCAUCCAUGGAGCAGAAUGGCAGCUCAGGGGCAACCCCCUAUCAGAAUAUAUUUCAAGAGCCCACUAUUGACCCUUGUCAUCACGCUUCUAAUGAUGUCAUGAAUAGCAUACUUUCCUCCCAGGCUGGUGGAGUUAAUGCAAAUCCCAUGUUUCCUUUGGGUUCUAUGCAGUAUAACUUGCCUCCUGGCUUCGUGUUGAAUCCAUCAUUUGCUCCUCAGGCUCUAAACUAUAAUGCUAUGGGAAACAUUUUUGCUCAGCAGCAACUCCUUGCAACGCUUUCCAGUUAUCAGCAAUUAGGGAGCAUGCACUCAUCCACUAGUGCUAGUCAUGCUGCUGAUUCUGCUGAAGUUUAUGGUUCAGCUCUCCCCGAUAUCUUCAAUGCUAGCAUUUCUAAGCAAACUCCUACUUCCUUGAUGAACACUUCGAAGAAAGAAGAUACAAAGGCAUUCGAUUUUAUCUCGGAUCAUUUGGCUGCAGCUCGUGAUCCAAAGAGGGUGAUUUGAAUGGUAAUCAUUCAAAGCAAAUAAGAAUACAUUGCUUAUAAUAUGUAGUAGCUAUACACAAUUUGAAGCACGAAUUUAAUCUGUAAAGUUCCUUUAAGAGCAGUGCUGUCAGUGUGAAAAGACCAACUAUUUUUUUCUUCUUUUCUGCCCAAUAAUGAGUAUUAGCUUUACCUGAUGAACAAAUGUUUGGAUGUCAUUGCCUUCGGAAAUGGAGUGCUGCAAGGGUUUUAGAGGUGUUGUAUUCUGAUAUUACGAUAAUUAUUGGAUGACGUUCUUUGGUGUCUCUCAUGUUAUUCUUUUAUUCCCAUCUCUGUUGUAAAACUAAAACUCUAUAAUAUGAGAAAUAUGGCAAAUUAUGACAAGAAAUAAAUGAAA